Mugil cephalus (flathead mullet) is the source of this 530-nucleotide long non-coding RNA. RefSeq lists it as uncharacterized. NCBI's taxonomy places the organism in Eukaryota, Metazoa, Chordata, Actinopteri, Mugiliformes, Mugilidae. The record is from RefSeq and is a predicted model, not a curated record. The transcript is spliced from 3 exons.
UCUGCCUCUGUGAUUGUCUGAUUAUUUCCACCUGUUCCCUCCUCCUUAGCCAUUUGUUUCCCCAGUUUUCAGUUCAUCUCCAUUUUAUGUUUUUUCCCAUACCAUGUUUUUUUUUAUCGUUUCUUUUCUGCUUGAGAUUUUUUGUCAAAUUUUUCCUUGUUUCUGUUUUUGGCUGACCUUUUGAACAUCUGCCUCCAUGGACCUGGCAGCCACUGUUUGUUAUAGUUCCAGUUGCAAGAGGCCUGAGAGGAGCCGAGAGGCAGCCUAUUACCCAUCUACUGCCGAUGGGAGGCCCUGAUAGUGCACUGUUGGAGGGCGACAGGAAAUGAGGAAGUGGAGGAGGAGGAGGAGGAAAGGAGUGACGCACAGAAAGAGGGGAGCAAACUCAUAUCCAGCGAUCAAUAUCCGCAUGCGAGCUGCGGAGAGGUAUCCCUCCCCAGAAGCUUUUCACACGUGUUUCAUUCGAUGGCGCUUAUUCAUAGUUCGUGAUUGUAUCGAUCACCGAGGCGUCUUGAAGUUGGUGAGAAAAU